CUUGUACUCCCUCCGUCCGGAAAUACUUGUCAUUGAAAUUGAUGUAUCUAGAUGUAUUUUAGUUCUAGACACAUCCAUUUUGAUGACAACUAAUUUCGGACGAAGGGAGUACUUG
Non-coding RNA from Triticum aestivum (bread wheat), 115 nucleotides. The record is from Rfam. NCBI's taxonomy places the organism in Eukaryota, Viridiplantae, Streptophyta, Magnoliopsida, Poales, Poaceae.